ACCCUUGGCUGAGUGUCGCUGAGCUACACCUGGCCAAUAUCUCCGUCAUUCUUCCUGCUAACCACUGACCUUAACCUAAUCAUUCAAUCGUAUUUAUUGGGCGCUCACUAUGUGCAGAGCACUGUACUAAGCGCUUGGAAUGUGCAGUUCGGGAAUAGAGACAAUCCCUGCCCAAGAACGGGCUCGGUCUAAACGCAGUUUAAUCACGCAGGUCUACACGUGGGCUCCCGGCCGCUUUAACACGUUGGCUCCCUGGGGGCAGGACUCGACUUUGUAUGUUCUGUACAGCACCUAGGAGACAAGGACUGCUAGCUCCCCUCACCACAACCGAGCCACGAGGUUCCGCACUUUGGGUCUGGAGUGUCCGGGGAACACAGUCACCAGUCCAGGUUUAAAGAAUCCAAUCCCCGUAAUAGGCUCCUUUGAAACAUCGAGAUUGACGCCCCUCCACCCCAGCUUCAGCGACAUCGGUGACUACAGUCGGAGCACACACAGUUCCCGGAUGAGCAAACAUCGGAUUCGGUCAGUCGUUCAACAGACUGAGCCUCCCAGCCGUAUAGGACAGAAAGAACUCCCGGAGAAGAUGGCAGCCCUGCUGACCUCCCGGUCAUCCUCAAGCCCCCAGCUGGAGAGAGUGGAGGUCAAGUCGGAGCGAGAGCCCCAAAAUGAGUUGGAGCGGAGCCCAGAGCCAGGAUCAGAGGAACAGCUGAGCCCCGACCUGGAGAUAGAAUCCGCGGCGGACCAGGAGAGGGCUUUGCCCGUUCCAUGGGUUCCAGCCAUUCCCAAGGAAGAAAGCCUUGAGGAUGAGGUGACAACUGAGUAUCUUCUACCCAAGCCCCAGGUAAGCUGCUGAUCUGCCUUCCUGAGAUGAAGCUCAAAACUUCCCCCUCCCGACUCGAUUCUACUCGCAUCACCCCCACCAUCCUCCCCACCAAGAAGAGGCGAGUUAAGAUUGCAGCACCAGGGACAGAAGUUAGCCCAAAGGAACUGCUUCCUGUUUGUCAGCAUUACUGUCACUGAAUUCAGUGCUAUCUUGCCUGAGGUAGGGAAGGGAGGAGAGCGGGAUUUUCUGCAGGGCCUAACCAGGUUUAGGAGUCCACGAUCGCGAACUCGGGAUUUACAUGGAGUUUUCCUCAAGUCCCUCUUCCCACCAAGUCUGGCCUCAUCCUAGGGAUUUCUGGGAUUCUCCAUAGCUUUCUCCUUUGCCUCUCCACCUUCCUCUAGGACUGGGCUUAGGAACCUGGGGCAUAGCCUGGCUGGUAAGAUGCCCACUGAGCCACUAGUGGCUGGUUCCUGCAGUGAAAUUCCACAACUGACCUCCCCUCUUCCCCAGGGUCCUCCCCAGUAACGGGAAUUGGACUGAGAGUGCAACAGAAGGGAAUGAGGGUUAUCCCUCUUCCCCAGGUCCUCUCUCAGCAUUUCCA
This 1424-nucleotide long non-coding RNA is filed under the name Ornithorhynchus anatinus (platypus). RNAcentral's name for it is "lncRNA (ENSOANG00000036835.1)". Lineage: Eukaryota; Metazoa; Chordata; Mammalia; Monotremata; Ornithorhynchidae. The record is from RNAcentral.